GAAAGGCUGUUGUGGGCAGCAACACAGCUGGACAUUCCUUUGCUUACUGAUGGGAGAUUCAUAAGGAUACUUGCUCUUGGAGCCCACCUGCCCUGCUGGGAGGUGCUGGGAACACCUGGAGAGCCAUGUGCAGCUGUGUGGCCAGCAAUCCCAGCUUUGUUCCCAGCCAGCUGCCAGACCUGGGAGUGAGGAAGCCUUCCAGAAGACCCCAGCCUAGUCCCCAUCUGACAGCGACCUCAUGAGAUAUCCUGAGUGAGAUCUACCCAGCCGAGCCCAAUAAACCCAUGAAAACAUCA
Homo sapiens (human) is the source of this 296-nucleotide long non-coding RNA. The record is from Ensembl. Lineage: Eukaryota; Metazoa; Chordata; Mammalia; Primates; Hominidae.